CUAGUUAGUCCAACUACUAAUCAUAUAUACUUGCUCCAAAGAUUUAAGCCAUGCAUGUCUAGGAACAUGGCGUAUUAAGGCCAUACAGCGAAUGGCUUAUUAAAUAAUUUAUGGUUCCAUGGAUUGUACUUAGAUAACUGUGGCAAUCUAGACCUAAUACAAGCAGCAGAUCUCCGAUCCUCUGGAGACCAUCGCUUUUAUUAAUCCAAAACUAACCGGACCUCGUGUCUGCAUUAUGUGGUGACUAUGUAUAACUUCGGACUGAUCGCAAGAGCCCGUCCUGGUGACGUACCUUUCAAAUAUCUGCAUUGUCAACUGUCGAUGGUAGAUUGAUUGUACGUUUAGAGUAAUCGUAACGGGUGACGAGGAUUCUGCAAACGAAUCCUGAGAGAUGGUUACUACAUCCAAGGAAGGCAGCAAGUGCCAAAAUCACAAGCUUCCAGAAAGUGCAAGUAGUCACAAAAAAUAACAAUGCUGGACCCGGUAAAUGGAAUAAGUAUUUUCUAAAUCCAUUGACGAGAAGCAAAUGGAGGCAGAGUCUGUGCCAGCAGCCAAGGCAAUUGGAGCUACCCAGCGUGUAUU
RNAcentral lists this non-coding RNA (582 nucleotides) under Stegodyphus mimosarum. Its description in RNAcentral is "eukaryotic small subunit ribosomal RNA". It matches the Rfam family "Eukaryotic small subunit ribosomal RNA", at positions 1 to 605 of the family's 1831-position model. Lineage: Eukaryota; Metazoa; Arthropoda; Arachnida; Araneae; Eresidae. The record is from Rfam by way of RNAcentral.